AGAAGUUAAGAAACUGUUUCUUAACUUUUAACUAAAAAAAGUUAAGAAUCGGUUCUUAAUUAAGGAUUUUAAGAACCGGUUCUUAACUUUUUUAGUUAAAAGUUAAGAAACAGUUUCUUAACUUCC
MicroRNA precursor from Brassica oleracea var. oleracea, 126 nucleotides. It matches the Rfam family "MIR9563 microRNA precursor family". The record is from Rfam. Lineage: Eukaryota; Viridiplantae; Streptophyta; Magnoliopsida; Brassicales; Brassicaceae.